UCCCUAAUGGCUGAGAUGGUAAAGAAUCUGUCUGCAAUGUGGGAGACCCGGGCUUGAUCCCUGGUUUGGGAA
This 72-nucleotide transfer RNA is filed under the name Bos taurus (domestic cattle). It matches the Rfam family "tRNA". Rfam says of the family: Transfer RNA (tRNA) molecules are approximately 80 nucleotides in length. RNAcentral also lists the same sequence under 4 other names. Lineage: Eukaryota; Metazoa; Chordata; Mammalia; Artiodactyla; Bovidae. The record is from Rfam by way of RNAcentral.